RNAcentral lists this ribosomal RNA (300 nucleotides) under uncultured Archaeoglobus sp. RNAcentral's name for it is "bacterial SSU rRNA". It matches the Rfam family "Bacterial small subunit ribosomal RNA", at positions 496 to 795 of the family's 1533-position model. The record is from RNAcentral. Lineage: Archaea; Methanobacteriati; Methanobacteriota; Archaeoglobi; Archaeoglobales; Archaeoglobaceae.
UGUACGGCAGAUGCGGCAGCCGGGGAAAGACGGAGGGGGCGUGUGUGUUUCGGAAUUAUUGGGCGUAAAGGGGAGGUAGGGGACUGUUAAAGUGAAAGGUUAAAUCCCUGGGCUCAACGGAGGAACUGCCGUUUAAACUGAGAGGCUUGAGUCCGUGAGGGGGUAGCGGAAUUGCCAGUGUAGCGGUGAAAUGCGUAGAUAUUGGGAGGAACACCAGUGGCGAAGGCGGCUACCUGGACCGGAACUGACGCUGAUGCGCGAAAGCGUGGGUAGCAAACAGGAUUAGAUACCCGGGUAGUC